UACGACUACAUAUCAGGCAUAUCAAUAAGCGGAGGAAAAGAAACUAACAAGGAUUCCCUUAGUAACGGCGAGUGAAGCGGGAAGAGCUCAAAUUUGAAAUCUUCAAGGUUUACCUUGACGAAUUGUAGUUUAAAGAAGUGUUUUCUGUUGGAAGUUUUGGUAAAAGUUCUUUGGAAUAGGACAUCAUAGAGGGUGAGAAUCCCGUAUUUGACCAUUAUUUCCAGCUUUGUGAUACACUUUCAAAGAGUCGGAUUGUUUGGGAAUGCAGUCCAAAAUGGGUGGUAAAUUUCAUCUAAAGCUAAAUAUUGGCGAGAGACCGAUAGCGAACAAGUACCGUGAGGGAAAGAUGAAAAGAACUUUGAAAAGAGAGUUAAACAGUACGUGAAAUUGUCAAAAGGGAAGCGUUUGACACCAGUGUUGUUUUCUCGAAAAUCAAUUAAAAAAAGUUGGAUUUUGUGUUGUAUUGACCUUAACAGCUUGCUUCACUCUUUUCCAGCUUUUUUUAAUGCACUUUUCGUUUAACAAGUCAACAUCAGUUUCUUUUGUUGUAAAAGGGUCAUUGGAAGGUGGCUUUCUCUUCGGAGAAAGUGCUUAUAGCCUUUGAUCUCUGCAAUCGGAGAGACUGAGGUCUGCAGCGUAGAUCCUUCGGGGUUAGAUACAUUUGUGCUAAGCUACAGCUUUUCAUAGACAACUUGUUGACUAUGUUUAGUCUUGUGACUUACCCGCUUAUGCUAUUUUACCUACGCUUAGGAUGUUGAGCGCAUGUCUCUCUCU
RNAcentral lists this ribosomal RNA (774 nucleotides) under uncultured Neocallimastigales. RNAcentral describes it as "partial large subunit ribosomal RNA". It matches the Rfam family "Eukaryotic large subunit ribosomal RNA", at positions 24 to 616 of the family's 3401-position model. Lineage: Eukaryota; Fungi; Neocallimastigomycota; Neocallimastigomycetes; Neocallimastigales. The record is from RNAcentral.